GCUGGGUGCUGUGGUGUGUACCUCUAGUCCCAGCUCCUCAGGAGGCUCAGGCAAGAGGAUUGUUUGAACCCAGGAAUUAGAGGCCAACCUCAGUAAUACAGUCAGAUACUUGUCUGUC
Molecule: small RNA, 118 nt
Filed under: Marmota monax (woodchuck)
Lineage: Eukaryota; Metazoa; Chordata; Mammalia; Rodentia; Sciuridae
Source: RNAcentral